CCUACGGGUGGCAGCAGUGGGGAAUAUUGGACAAUGGGGGAAACCCUGAUCCAGCGACGCCGCGUGCGUGAAGAAGUAUUUCGGUACGUAAAGCUCUAUCAGCAGGAAAGAAAAUGACGGUACCUGACUAAGAAGCCCCGUCUAACUACGUGCCAGCAGCCGCGGUAAUACGUAGGGGGCAAGCGUUAUCCGGAUGUACUGGGUGUAAAGGGAGCGUAGACGGCAGUGCAAGUCUGGAGUGAAAGGGGUGGGCUCAACGCCCGGACUGCUCUGGAAACUGUACGGCUGGAGUGCAGAGGCGGUAAGUGGAAUGCAUAGUGUAGCGGUGAAAUGCGUAGAGAUCAGGCGGAACACC
This 355-nucleotide ribosomal RNA is filed under the name uncultured bacterium. RNAcentral describes it as "partial 16S ribosomal RNA". It matches the Rfam family "Bacterial small subunit ribosomal RNA", at positions 338 to 710 of the family's 1533-position model. The record is from RNAcentral.